This 240-nucleotide unclassified non-coding RNA is filed under the name soil metagenome. Its description in RNAcentral is "partial contains 5.8S ribosomal RNA, internal transcribed spacer 2, and large subunit ribosomal RNA". The record is from RNAcentral.
AACACUGUUAACCUGCGGUACCUGCGGAGGGAUCAUUACCGAGUGCGGGUCUUUAUGGCCCAACCUCCCACCCGUGACUAUUGUACCUUGUUGCUUCGGCGGGCCCGCCAGCGUUGCUGGCCGCCGGGGGCGUCUCGCCCCCGGGCCCGUGCCCGCCGGAGACCCCAACAUGAACCCUGUUCUGAAAGCUUGCAGUCUGAGUGUGAUUCUUUGCAAUCAGUUAAAACUUUCAGCAAUGGA